Molecule: ribosomal RNA, 492 nt
Filed under: uncultured bacterium
Lineage: Bacteria
Description: partial 16S ribosomal RNA
Rfam family: Bacterial small subunit ribosomal RNA
Source: RNAcentral
AUUGAACGCUGGCGGCAUGCUUUACACAUGCAAGUCGAACGGUAACAGGCCUUCGGGUGCUGACGAGUGGCGAACGGGUGAGUAAUGCAUCGGAACGUACCCAGAGGUGGGGGAUAACGCAGCGAAAGCUGUGCUAAUACCGCAUGUGAUCUGAGGAUGAAAGCGGGGGACCGAGCAGCAAUGUUUGGCCUCGCGCCUUUGGAGCGGCCGAUGUCGGAUUAGCUAGUUGGUGGGGUAAAGGCCUACCAAGGCGACGAUCCGUAGCUGGUCUGAGAGGACGACCAGCCACACUGGGAAUGAGACACGGCCCAGACUCCUACGGGAGGCAGCAGUGGGGAAUUUUGGACAAUGGGCGCAAGCCUGAUCCAGCAAUGCCGCGUGCGGGAAGAAGGCCUUCGGGUUGUAAACCGCUUUUGGCAGGAACGAAACGGUGUCCGCUAAUACCGGGCGCUAAUGACGGUACCUGCAGAAUAAGCACCGGCUAACUACGUG